This 886-nucleotide ribosomal RNA is filed under the name uncultured archaeon. Its description in RNAcentral is "bacterial SSU rRNA". It matches the Rfam family "Archaeal small subunit ribosomal RNA", at positions 29 to 922 of the family's 1478-position model. The record is from RNAcentral.
GGGAUCGGGAUGGACUAAGCCAUGCGAGUCAUUGUAGCAAUACAAGGCAGACGGCUCAGUAACGCGUAGUCAAUCUACCCUAUGGACGGGAAUAACCUCGGGAAACUGAGAAUAAUGCCCGAUAGAACAUUAUACCUGGAACGGUUUAUGUUUCAAAUGAUUUAUCGCCGUAGGAUGGGACUGCGGCCUAUCAGUUUGUUGGUGAGGUAAUGGCCCACCAAGACUAUUACAGGUACGGGCUCUGAGAGGAGUAGCCCGGAGAUGGGUACUGAGACACGGACCCAGGCCCUAUGGGGCGCAGCAGGCGAGAAAACUUUGCAAUGUGCGAAAGCACGACAAGGUUAAUCCGAGUGGUUUCUGCUAAAGAAACCUUUUGCUAGUCCUAGAAACACUAGUGAAUAAGGGGUGGGCAAGUUCUGGUGUCAGCCGCCGCGGUAAAACCAGCACCUCAAGUGGUCAGGAUGAUUAUUGGGCCUAAAGCAUCCGUAGCUCGUUUUGUAAGUUUUCGGUUAAAUCCAUACGCUCAACGUAUGGGCUGCCGGGAAUACUGCAUAACUAGGAAGUGGGAGAGGUAGACGGUACUCGGUAGGAAGGGGUAAAAUCCUUUGAUCUAUUGAUGACCACCUGUGGCGAAGGCGGUCUACCAGAACACGUUCGACGGUGAGGGAUGAAAGCUGGGGGAGCAAACCGGAUUAGAUACCCGGGUAGUCCCAGCUGUAAACUAUGCAAACUCAGUGAUGCAUUGGCUUGUGGCCAAUGCAGUGCUGCAGGGAAGCCGUUAAGUUUGCCGCCUGGGAAGUACGUACGCAAGUAUGAAACUUAAAGGAAUUGGCGGGGGAGCACCACAAGGGGUGAAGCCUGCGGUUCAAUUGGAGUCAACGCCGGG